AGCGAACGCUGGCGGCAGGCCUAACACAUGCAAGUCGAACGAACUCUUCGGAGUUAGUGGCGGACGGGUGAGUAACACGUGGGAACGUGCCUUUAGGUUCGGCAUAACUCAGGGAAACUUGUGCUAAUACCGAAUGUGCCCUUCGGGGGAAAGAUUUAUCGCCUUUAGAGCGGCCCGCGUCUGAUUAGCUAGUUGGUGAGGUAAAGGCUCACCAAGGCGACGAUCAGUAGCUGGUCUGAGAGGAUGAUCAGCCACAUUGGGACUGAGACACGGCCCAAACUCCUACGGGAGGCAGCAGUGGGGGAUCUUGCGCAAUGGGCGAAAGCCUGACGCAGCCAUGCCGCGUGAAUGAUGAAGGUCUUAGGAUUGUAAAAUUCUUUCACCGGGGACGAUAAUGACGGUACCCGGAGAAGAAGCCCCGGCUAACUUCGUG
This 433-nucleotide ribosomal RNA is filed under the name uncultured bacterium. RNAcentral describes it as "partial 16S ribosomal RNA". It matches the Rfam family "Bacterial small subunit ribosomal RNA", at positions 29 to 507 of the family's 1533-position model. The record is from RNAcentral.